GCAAGCAGGAUUAUGUUUUCUGCAUGUCGGAAUGUGACACGGCAGCCGAAGGAUGUGCGAUACAAUGGCAGGUGCUUUGUAGUAAGCCUACUCAGUCAUUAAUUUGUGCAUCCACAUAUCUUGUGAUUACAGCCAAGUCAUGUGAUUGGGUGGAGUUAGAAGAAGUCUGCCUUUGUUAUAGUGUAUGGCAUAUGUGGCAUUUUCUGAUUGCAGGUUAGCCGAAUAGCUUAUGUAGCUUAGUGAUUGUAUAUUGAACAGUUUUGAGGCUCUGCGUGGGAGUCACAACAGGCACAGUACGUAACUGUUUUGUAAAGGCAGUGAAUAAUACAUGGUUGGUUGUGAUACUCGCUAAGAGUGUCAAAUGAUUGGUGAAUCUAAUUUUGCAUUAUGGGGAGUUUCUUUAUUGAUUGGUGAAAUUGAACACUGUUGAUUUGUCUGCGAUGGGCUGGGUGCAUGUUUUCUCUUCAACAGGUAUUUGGCACAAGGAACUCUGCCCAUAGUGAGAGACUUGAAGAGGUACGCAGUUUGUAAGCUUGCACCGGUAAUAAUACAAUUAUUUCUGUGAGUCUAGUUGCUUGCUUUGAUGUAAGGUAAUAGUCUAGAUAGUUACCCUUGGUUGAUGUGGGGGCAUUUAAAUGUGGGAUAAGCUGUUUGGUUCCUCUCCAGCAGGUGCUGUGUGACAAAUUGUGUACUGUGGCCCGUUAGGAAUGGAUAACCAAGUUUGGACAACUUGAAAGAGGAGUAUCGUAGGGGGAUUUAGAGCCAAUCGUGAGGUAACAGUUAGAUUGGCCACUUUGUGAGUAUGUGGCUUUGUGUGUUUAAUGAACAUCACAGAUGUGUGUUGUCACCGUGAGCAUUAGUUCAUAGAGUGAAAGGCUAUUAAUUCUCUGGUUGCAGGAAUAUGCUGUAGUGUGUUAUUAGAUGUAAAGGAUGCAAGUAGUAGCGUUCUUGAAGACAAUGUUAGUGAACAUGUAAAUGGGUCAUCAGUAAGCUAAAGGUGUGUACAAGGAGCAAGUGCGAAACUGACAUUGGCGGAGUACGACCAGGAAUGUAUUUGGCAGUAUGAGGGAAGAAUAGGAACAAAGUUCCGUGGCAUUUGACUUGAGACAGGUUCGAGAUUACUUGAGAGCGCUACUAGAACAGUGCAUAUAACCGGACAGAGGUAAUGAUAUAAGUUUGUUUAUUCACUGUGAUUUUUAGUUUUGGCAUCGCCAGUGAGGACUGGUUGUUGUUUUUCUGCCUUUAGGGGUGUUUGGGCCUGUCACAGAUACUGUGGCAGGUGAGAGGGUUUCAUGACUUUCUAAUUGCAGAUGCUGUAAGAGAAUUGGCCUUUGAUUGCCAGGAUUAACUGCAUUUCGUGGAAGGAUUGUCUCCCAGCGAACAUGUAAGCUUGUAUAAAUUUGUUAUGCCAAUUUGAUGUAAUUGUGCAACUGCUAUAGGUAAUGCUACAAACUUGCUAGAUUUAUAUAAUUAAAAUGAUUUGGUUGGAUAUAGUGACUCCUUGCUAUGCAGCUGGGUGGGUGUGGGUGUUUGUGUGAGGUGUGUUGCAGGAGCAAGCAGGAUUAUGUUUUCUGCAUGUCGGAACGUGACACGGCAGCCGAAGGAUGUGCGAUACAAUGGCAGGUGCUUUGUAGUAAGCCUACUCAGUCAUUAAUUUGUGCAUCCACAUAUCUUGUGAUUACAGCCAAGUCAUGUGAUUGGGUGGAGUUAGAAGAAGUCUGCCCUUGUUAUAGUGUAUGGCAUAUGUGGCAUUUUCUGAUUGCAGGUUAGCCGAAUAGCUUAUGUAGCUUAGUGAUUGUAUAUUGAACAGUUUUGAGGCUCUGCGUGGGAGUCACAACAGGCACAGUACGUAACUGUUUUGUAAAGGCAGUGAAUAAUACAUGGUUGGUUGUGAUACUCGCUAAGAGUGUCAAAUGAUUGGUGAAUCUAAUUUUGCAUUAUGGGGAGUUUCUUUAUUGAUUGGUGAAAUUGAACACUGUUGAUUUGUCUGCGAUGGGCUGGGUGCAUGUUUUCUCUUCAACAGGUAUUUGGCACAAGGAACUCUGCCCAUAGUGAGAGACUUGAAGAGGUACGCAGUUUGUAAGCUUGCACCGGUAAUAAUACAAUUAUUUCUGUGAGUCUAGUUGCUUGCUUUGAUGUAAGGUAAUAGUCUAGAUAGUUACCCUUGGUUGAUGUGGGGGCAUUUAAAUGUGGGAUAAGCUGUUUGGUUCCUCUCCAGCAGGUGCUGUGUGACAAAUUGUGUACUGUGGCCCGUUAGGAAUGGAUAACCAAGUUUGGACAACUUGAAAGAGGAGUAUCGUA
Schistocerca nitens (vagrant locust) is the source of this 2301-nucleotide long non-coding RNA. RefSeq lists it as uncharacterized. The transcript has 4 exons. Lineage: Eukaryota; Metazoa; Arthropoda; Insecta; Orthoptera; Acrididae. The record is from RefSeq and is a predicted model, not a curated record.